This 279-nucleotide ribosomal RNA is filed under the name uncultured bacterium. RNAcentral describes it as "partial 16S ribosomal RNA". It matches the Rfam family "Bacterial small subunit ribosomal RNA", at positions 506 to 784 of the family's 1533-position model. The record is from RNAcentral.
UGCCAGCAGCCGCGGCAAUACGGAGGGUGCGAACGUUAAUCGGAAUUACUGGGCGUAAAGCGCGCGUAGGCGGAUCGUUAAGUGGGAUGUGAAAGCCCUGGGCUCAACCUAGGAAUUGCAUUGCAAACUGGCGGUCUAGAGUACGGUAGAGGGAGGUGGAAUUUCCUGUGUAGCGGUGAAAUGCGUAGAUAUAGGAAGGAACACCAGUGGCGAAGGCGGCCUCCUGGACUGAUACUGACGCUGAGGUGCGAAAGCGUGGGUAGCAAACAGGAUUAGAUA